RNAcentral lists this unclassified non-coding RNA (1636 nucleotides) under Hevea brasiliensis (rubber tree). The record is from RNAcentral. Lineage: Eukaryota; Viridiplantae; Streptophyta; Magnoliopsida; Malpighiales; Euphorbiaceae.
AAAAAAAAAAAAAAAAAGUAGUAUAGGAAAUCAAAAUUACAAAAAUUUUGUUGGAAACCCAUUCAUUGCCCCCCAAAAAUAAGUUAUUAUUUACAUUUUUUAUAAGAAAUAAAUAAUAUCAUGCAUAUGUAACAAAAUUAAUAUAUAUAUAUAUAUGUUGUUGCUAAUUUGUAGUAAAUUUAAAUCACAUUUUAAUUUUUGCUAAUAAGUAUGUGAAAUAAAUUUUACAUGAAAAUGUUUAAACCUAGCUAAUUGCAUUUGGUCAAUUUAUAAAUUUAUUGUAUUUACUUUUUAUUUAAAUUUAUGUGGUUUUAUUGGACAUAAUAUUUUAUCGUUUUUUUUAAAUAAAAGUAAUAUUAAUGAUAUGAUAUUCUCAAAAAAAAAUGAUAUAAUGCUUACACAUGAUCUUUAUUGGCACCCCAUGAAAAUAUAAACCAAGCUCCAAUAUGCAAGAGAAAAAUUAGGGAUAUAAAGAAAUUAAAUAUUACAAGGGGAAAAAAAAUGCAAGAGCCACCCAUGACAGCUUUUCUCAACACCAGAACUGAGAACUUCAUAAAUGGAUAUAUAGAUACUACAAUGAGCUCAAAAGACACUAAGAAUCUCAUUCACAAAACCUUCUCAAAAUUACAAAGCUUCCAUCUAGAAGCCUCAUAAUGACCUUUUAGACAGUCAAAUUUCAACUUAAUUCUAACUCAAAAAUAUAUCAGGAAGUGUAUGAACAACUGCUUAUAGACAUAGUACACAAAGCAAAAAAAUUUAUAACAUUUGACAUUUCCAAGGAACCAGUAACCUCUUUCAAAUAUUUAGUAUCUCUGGUUUAUAACAAUUACAACCACAGGAUUAAACCAUUAAAACAAUGCAGAAGCACGCUUUUCAAGGGUAUCAUGAGUAAUAUACAACGAUCACAUGACAUAAUAUAUGACCACUAAUCAAAAUUCUAGAAAUUGAUAAGCCACAUGUACCCAUCAUAUACAUCAAGUAGAUCACAUGACAUAAUAUAUGACCACUAAUCAAAAUUCUAGAAAUUGAUAAGCCACAUGUACCCAUCAUAUACAUCAAGUAGAUCACAUGACAUAAUAUAUGACCAUAUGGACUAUGGAUGAGAUAUUGAAGUUGACCCCUCAUCAAGCCCAUUACAUUCACCUUAAAAUUAUCAACUUGUAAUCAUUAGUGCAUGUACAUGUACAUGCACAAGAAAUCAUACACAGGCAGCUUCCAUAGUUCUCUUUUCCCAAAAACAAUGACAUUUGAUUAUCUAUCUGCCACAUUCCUAACUCUUUAACUAAUUAACUCAUUUAUGGCCUGCAAAGUUCCUUCCUUAAGAAGAAAGCCAAGUGUGCAAUACAAUACUUGCUGUGUCUGCAUGUACAGAAUUUAUUACAAACAGUAUAUGAAACUAGACUCAGACAUGUAAUUGCUGCAGAUAACAGAGAAAAACAGCAUUCUACCAAAAAGUCAAAAAGCUCAAAAUAAGGUAUCAAAAUAUAAUUACCAAAGGAUUAACAUUUGCAAGGCCUGCACCUUCACCAGAUGCCAAAAACAAUUCAUUCUCCAAAGUCUUGUCAUCUUCAAGAAAAUUUGAUAUCUCACAAGGGCGGAAGAACCACAAAAUUUUUAUUUUCUUCGUCUUAUCAGA